RNAcentral lists this non-coding RNA (102 nucleotides) under Bacillus sp. (in: firmicutes). RNAcentral's name for it is "Bacillus sp. Guanine sequence". It matches the Rfam family "Purine riboswitch aptamer". From Rfam's summary of the family: Riboswitches are metabolite binding domains within certain messenger RNAs that serve as precision sensors for their corresponding targets. Allosteric rearrangement of mRNA structure is mediated by ligand binding, and this results in modulation of gene expression. RNAcentral also lists the same sequence under 1 other name. Lineage: Bacteria; Bacillati; Bacillota; Bacilli; Caryophanales; Bacillaceae. The record is from RNAcentral.
GAUAGGAAAUUUAGCAAACCUCAUAUAAGUUUGGGAAUAUGGCCCAAAAGUUUCUACCUAGUAACCUUAAAUUACUGGACUAUGAGGGGAAGUUAAUCACAC